UACGUAGGGCGCAAGCGUUGUCCGGAAUUAUUGGGCGUAAAGAGCUCGUAGGCGGCUUGUCACGUCGGGUGUGAAAGACCGGGGCUUAACCCCGGUUCUGCAUUCGAUACGGGCUGGCUAGAGUGUGGUAGGGGAGAUCGGAAUUCCUGGUGUAGCGGUGAAAUGCGCAGAUAUCAGGAAGAACACCAAUGGCGAAAGCAGCUUUCUGGGACGGUACUGACGCUGAGACGCGAAAGCGUGGGGAGCGAACAGG
Molecule: ribosomal RNA, 253 nt
Filed under: uncultured bacterium
Lineage: Bacteria
Description: partial 16S ribosomal RNA
Rfam family: Bacterial small subunit ribosomal RNA
Source: RNAcentral